Molecule: long non-coding RNA, 433 nt
Organism: Micropterus salmoides (largemouth bass)
Lineage: Eukaryota; Metazoa; Chordata; Actinopteri; Centrarchiformes; Centrarchidae
Exons: 3
Source: RefSeq, a predicted model, not a curated record
GCUCCCAGAACAAGCUCACAGCCGGGGCCUCGUGACAGGAGGCUUACUAUAUGUAUAUAUUUAUAAAUUCAGUUUUUUUGUUAGUGUCAGAAUGAAAAGUAGAAUGAAAGGAUCACCGAAGUGAGAGGACACAGCCACAUCUGGGAGACCUUCAGUGCAUUCUGGGAUCUGGAGAAAAUACACACACGGGCCUACUUGCUCCUCUGUGGGAGCAGCUGAGCUCUUAGCCCCUCAGCUCCUGGCCUACUUCUGAAGCAAUGUUUGACAAAGGGCGAGUCUCUCCCUCAACAAAAGACAGGGAAUUAGAGAGGCUCUUGCAUGGUGAGAAGGCCACACGCAAAGCUAGAUGCUGCCCAGUCCACAUUCCCUGUCAGACAGAUCCAAUCCAAGAUCAUAUUUCCCUGCAAAGAAAAUAAAUCUGCUUACCAGCCGA